CCGUUCUCCUGGCAGCGCGGGCCGUGCCGGAGCCCAGGUGGGCCCGGGCUCGGGAGCGGUGCAUAAAUUGCUGUCCCGAGGGAUGCGGGGCGAUCCCGUGUCCGGGAGUGGAAUCGCGGGUGGGGGAAAGCGGAAUAGGGAGGUGGCGUAGCCCCGCUUUGCGGCGGUGGGACUAAAGGGGACAGAGCGGGAUUCCAUCCGGGGUUUCCCGGUCAGCCGUGGUUUAGAAUCGUAUUAACAGAAUAAUCUAGGUGGAAAAUGACCUGUGACCAAACCACCAGGUCAACUAUACCACGGCGCCAAGGGCCAUGUCCAAUCUUUUCUUAAACACCUUCAGGGACAGGUGGUGACUCCACCACCUCCCAGAGCAGUCCAUUUCAAUGUCUGAGCAUCCAUUCUGUGAAGAAAUUCUUCUUGAUGUCCAACCUAACCCCCUCUGCUGCAGAUUAAACCCAUGUCCUCUCGUUCUACUGCUAGUUAGCCGUGCUGCCCGCAGCUAUGAGCGCCCCUCCUGUCCUCAGCCUCGUGGUACCUUGUGAGGCACCAUGGCUAUGUUCUGUGCCCUCUUUGGCAGGGCUGGUGGAAGCUGCCCGCCUCCUUGUGCUCCGGGAGAAAGGAGAUCCUCAUGAGAGCAAAGCGGUAGCAGGUCAUCAAAGAAAGAUGCCAGAAACUAGUGCAGUGCGUUUUCAUCACUUGCAGCACAUUAUACAAUGUUGCUUGUACAGCGGAUGUUUAUCCAGGGCGUGGGCAUGAGAUGUUCUCCCAACGAUUUGCCAGAGCAAGAUGAAGUGCGUUGGAAGUAAGUUGUGAUGACAUCUCUUCAUGCGUCUGCCUCUUGUUCACGAAAAGCAUCAUCCACUAUCUUUGGAAGUGCUCGAGAUGACUCUGUGGGGAUGUGUGAGCACCAAAGUGAUGUGCAGGGGAGACGCAGCUCAGAAGAAAAGCACGAAGAAGCUCUGCCUGGUUUGGGAACUUCGACCCAGCUGCAGGAAUGAAUCAGAGAGCUUUACAACAGACUAACUGGUGGCUGGGAUGAGCAUCCAGGGUGCUGACACAUGUACACUGAAGCCACAAGCCAUAGCUUGAGGGGACAGCGACUGGAGAGAUGGAUCAGCUGGCAGAGGAGCCCAUUUGUGCGUGUGUGUCUGAACAGCGCAGCUGGAGUGGCUGGUGACUUGAGAUAUAGUAAUAAAAAUUUUAUUCCUGUAUUUCAAAUCCACUCACAUGUCCCUGUUGAUGAGGAAGAGGAAGAGGAAGAGGAAGAGGAAGAGGAAGAGGAAGAGGAAGAGGAAGAGGAAGAGAGUCAAAAUAUUUCCCAGCAGGUUUCUGGAUUUUUCGGUGCUGCACUAGAAAAGGGGACAACUAAACUACAAAGACAGACUUUGUUUUCUGUAUUAACCUGGAAAUGGAUAGUUGAAAUGAAGGAAAAAUUGAUCAGGCUCUUUUUUUUUUUUUUUCUUUUUUUUAACCAGGAGAGGAAAACUGAAGUUGCUACACCUCGAUUUACUAUACCAAGCUUUUAUAUCAGUUUAAAAUCACUUUACUGUGAAUCUGCAUUUUUCCUGAUGAGAAGAAACAUAUUUUGUAUCUUAAAAUAUCCAGAAGCUUACUUUGAAGGUUUGGAAAUGUUUAAUUCCACUACUAAGUGUGAUCAUAUAUAAAUGAUGUUUUUAAUGCCUUAGUAUUGAUCAGAUUGGAGUUUGGGUAAGAAUGGGCUGCCUUUCUCCAAGAAAACAAAUGAUGGAACGUAUUUUGUAGGUAAAAUGUAACUGAUGAUCAUUAAAAAUGUACAGAUGGGUAAGAGAAAAGACAAAUACAUGAUUUCAGUCUCAAUAUAUGAUCAGCUAAGUAUGUUUUGAGAAUAGUUACAGUCAUAAUUUGGAGAGUGAAACCUGAGUGCAUGGGAAAGGCUAUUUCAACCUCCUUAAACUGGGAAAUUUGCAAUAAUGCAUGAAAGCAAUUCCCAGACACUGAAAGGAUUUUUUGUGUCAGAAAGUCAGAAGGCCUUUCAAAGAAGCCAAAUUUCAUAGAACUCUAGACUUAUAAUUAUAAUUAUAAUUCAUAGAACUCUAGACUCAUAAUUAUAAUCUUAGGAUAGUUUAGGCUAGAAUGGACCUUUAAAGGUCCUGUAGUCAACCCCCCAAUUGUAAGUAGGGACAUCUUCAACCCCAUCAGGUUGCUUAGAGGCCAGUCCAGCCUGACUUUGAAUAUUUACAGGGAUGGGGGAUCCACCAUCUCUCAAGGCAACCUGUGUCAAUCUUACCACCCUCAUAAUAACAAAUUUCUUCCUUAUAUCUAGUCUGAAUCUACUCUCAUUUAGUUUAAAAUCACUACCACCUGUUGUAACAGGUCCUACUUAAAAUUUGUCCCCAUCUUUCUUAUAGGCCCCUUUUCAUAUUGAAAGGUCUCCACUGGACCCUUCUCUUCUCCAGGCUGAACGACUCCAUCUGUCUCAGCCUGUCUUCAUAGGAAAGAUGCUGCAUCCCUGUGAUCAACUCAGUUGGCCCUUUUCUGAACUCACUCCAGCAGGUCUCUGUCCUUCCUGUGCUGGGACGCCAGAGCUGGAUGCAGCCCUGCAGGUGGGGUCUCUAACCAGAGCAGAACAGAGGGGGAGAAGCCCCUCCCUCCCCUGCUGCCCACGCCGCUGUAGAUGCAGCCCAGGACAUGUUUGGCUUUCUGGGCUGCAAGUUCACAUUGCUGGGUCAUGCCAACCUUUCAUCCACCAGUAUCCCCAAGUCUUUCUCUGCAGUGCUUCUCCCAGUCUCUUCAUCCUUAGUAUUGAUACCAGGAGCUGUGCUGGCCCGU
Molecule: RNA transcript, 2805 nt
Organism: Hirundo rustica (Barn swallow)
Lineage: Eukaryota; Metazoa; Chordata; Aves; Passeriformes; Hirundinidae
Exons: 3
Source: RefSeq, a predicted model, not a curated record